RNAcentral lists this unclassified non-coding RNA (268 nucleotides) under Hevea brasiliensis (rubber tree). The record is from RNAcentral. Lineage: Eukaryota; Viridiplantae; Streptophyta; Magnoliopsida; Malpighiales; Euphorbiaceae.
AAAAGGGUUUAAAUAAACAUAAGCAAAUAGAGUCCCAAUUAUUUCAAGGCAAGACAGAGAACACUACCUACUUUUACCUCAUCUGCAUCAUGCCAACUUAUGAAUGGUUUUCAUGUCAGCAGCCUCCUGAAGAGUGCCUUUCUCAACAUGCUCCCACCAUUUAAGCAGGAAAUUAUCGACCACCAGCCGAAACCAUGGAGACAACUUCACACCUUCUUCGCCAGCAUCGGCCCUCCUCAACAAUUCCUUUAACUGAUCUCGGUUGACA